RNAcentral lists this ribosomal RNA (400 nucleotides) under phytoplankton environmental sample. Its description in RNAcentral is "partial small subunit ribosomal RNA". It matches the Rfam family "Eukaryotic small subunit ribosomal RNA", at positions 587 to 991 of the family's 1831-position model. The record is from RNAcentral.
AGCUCCAAUAGCGUAUAUUAAAGUUGUUGCAGUUAAAAAGCUCGUAGUUGGAUUUGUGGUUGUCGUGAGGGAAUUUCACAUUCGUGUGAUUAUCCAUUGACGUCACCAUCCUUGGGUGGAUUUCGUGUGGCAUUAGGUUGUCGUGCGUAGGAUGCCCAUCGUUUACUGUGAAAAAAUUAGAGUGUUCAAAGCAGGCUUAUGCCGUUGAAUAUAUUAGCAUGGAAUAAUAAGAUAGGACCUUGGUACUAUUUUGUUGGUUUGCGCACCAAGGUAAUGAUUAAUAGGGACAGUUGGGGGUAUUCGUAUUCCAUUGUCAGAGGUGAAAUUCUUGGAUUUUUGGAAGACGAACUACUGCGAAAGCAUUUACCAAGGAUGUUUUCAUUAAUCAAGAACGAAAGUA